RNAcentral lists this ribosomal RNA (390 nucleotides) under uncultured archaeon. RNAcentral's name for it is "bacterial SSU rRNA". It matches the Rfam family "Archaeal small subunit ribosomal RNA", at positions 355 to 747 of the family's 1478-position model. The record is from RNAcentral.
AUGUGGGAAACCACGAUGCGGGAAACCCAAGUGCCAGCACUAUGUGUUGGCUGUCCUCCAGUGUUCGUAACUGGGGAAGAAAGAGCUGGGUAAGACGGGUGCCAGCCGCCGCGGUAAUACCCGCAGCUCAAGUGGUGGUCAUUAUUAUUGGGCCUAAAGCGUCCGUAGCUGGCUUGUUAGAUGCCUGGGUAAAUCGAUGCGCUCAACGUAUCGAAUUCCGGGUAGACCGGCAAGCUCGAGACCGGGAGAGGCGUGAGCUACUCAAGGGGUAGGGGUAAAAUCCUGUAAUCCUUUGGGGAGGACCAGUGGCGAAGGCGUCACGCUAGAACGGCUCUGACAGUGAGGGACGAAGCCCUGGGGCGCAAACCGGAUUAGAUACCCGCGUAGUCC